GCUUUGGGCGCCUCCACUUGCUCUGGUCACACCCCUGGGGCUCAUACUUGGGGCCUUGGCAAAGCUAUAGGGUAGGAUUUGAGGGCGAUUUGAGCUCUGACAAGCAGCUUUUCAGAGUCCUAGGGCCAGGGGCGUGGCCCAGCCCUGCCGCAGACGUGGUCAAAGCAGUUCUGGACUCAGACCCCAGGAGAACAGCCAUGCUCUUCAGCCCUGAGCCGCCUGGCCCCACUGACUUCCGGCCCCAUCUCCUGUCUCUAGCCCUCUUUACCCUCCAGCAAGCUUUUCUAAUGGUGGAACUGCCGGCAUUGCCCACAUGGGACCAGCACAGGCCUGGAGGCAGCACCAAGGCCCCGGUAGCCCUUCUGUCCCCCAGUGCACCCCCGUCUGGACUUGGAGUCGGCCUGGAAUCCAGGGCAGAGUGGAUGUCCCCUACCAGAAUCGGAGACACCUGCAGCCUCGGAGCUGGGGGAUACUGAACAUUCCCAGCUCCUGCUGACAGACAAGCAGCUUAGGAUAAAAGGCUCCUGCUGCACUGGGUCCAGGCGUCAGCCUCCGUGGGUGGGAGGGUUUGCUGAAGUGAGAGGCUGAUGAGAGCGCAAGGGAGGGCUGGCUGGAGGCAAGCACCUUCCAACCGGUUUCGGAUUUCCUUUGCUGUCCUCCCCUAUCUCUGGCUGGCAGCUUUUUGGGAUUAGCUGCUGUGGUCAGGAGCUGCCAGCUGGGCCGGCCUGGCACAGCCUCAGGGAGGUGUAUGAGGGCUGUCUGGUAGCUGGGCACAGUCAAGGAAGGGGGCAUGAGUCCAGUUUUCGAAAUUUGUCCCUCAGGAAAUUUGUCCUUUGGAAAUUUGGGAAGUGGUGGGGAGAGGUGCGUGUCUGCCACUCACACAUGAUCCGUGUAGCACAUCCACAUUGUACAGGGAGAGAAAUAGCUCAGGGAGGUGGAGUGAUCACGCAAGGCCACGCAGCUGGUCUGACCCUGGCUGCAUCCCACGCCAUCCAGUGGACACGCCUCCCUGACGGCUGACAGAUGAGCUAGGAGGGGCUCAUGUCCGUGCGGGUCAGUACCUUCUACACCAUCGCCCCAAUGGCAGCUACCACGUACUGAGCACCUACCCUGUGCCAGGUGCCUGUGAGGCUGGUGUCCCGUUCUACAGACAAGAAAACAGAAGCCCAGACAGGGGAAGCGACUUGCUCUAGAUCACACCCCAAACCGGCGAUGGAGGCAGGGUUUGAACCCAGGACUAACUCCAGAGGCUGUGUUCUCACCUGCCCCAUGCUCAGCAGAGACCUCCCCGCUUUGACACACGUCAAGCCCACGGCAGCUGUGCUGCCCACGGCUGCACCAGGCCCUGCUCUGGCCGAGAGCAUUUGUACACAGAGCGGAAAACACAGUGGGGUGCAGCAGGCCUCUCCCGAGAGAAACCGACCUCACCUUGGCAAAUCUCAGGGAAGGGACUUGGAGGCUCAGUUGGGUCACAGGUUCACUCCUUGACCAAUCAACUGUGCCCAGGGCUGGGGUCAGAUAACCAUGUAGCAGCCCCCUACAGACCAUGGUGGCCAAGGCGGUGGGGCAUGGCCUUUGCCUAGAGAUUUGACCCCUGGGCCAAAGGUUCUGUUUAAGUUACAUCUGCCUCCCCCGGCUUCUGAGCUUCCUGUUCCCAACUUCCAUGACAAGAGGCUGGGGGGGUCAGGGUGGGUCCUCUCGAAACUGCUUUCCUUGGGCCGGGCCCCUUCGUCCAGCCGACAGGCCAUGUCUGCCCAGGGAACUGAAGUGUAUGGACAGGGGUCAGAAGCUACUCGAAGGACUUGUCUCUGUGCCCAACUCAUGUGUGAGCCUUGGGGUUAAGUCACAUGGUUCACCCUCUGGUCUCAGUUCACACAUCACCCACAGAGAGGUCUCCGCCCAGCUCCCCAGCCUUCCCAGCCGCAGUCUGUCCUUCUCUAUUGUGUCUCUGUGAGGUCUGUCUUUCCUGGCAGAUUGUGAGGGCAGGAGGCAGGGCUGACACAAAAU
Equus asinus (donkey) is the source of this 2007-nucleotide long non-coding RNA. The record is from Ensembl. NCBI's taxonomy places the organism in Eukaryota, Metazoa, Chordata, Mammalia, Perissodactyla, Equidae.